AUUGAACGCUGGCGGCAUGCUUUACACAUGCAAGUCGAACGGUAACAGGUCUUCGGAUGCUGACGAGUGGCGAACGGGUGAGUAAUACAUCGGAACGUGCCUAGUAGUGGGGGAUAACUACUCGAAAGAGUAGCUAAUACCGCAUGAGAUCUACGGAUGAAAGCAGGGGAUCGCAAGACCUUGUGCUACUAGAGCGGCUGAUGGCAGAUUAGGUAGUUGGUGGGGUAAAGGCUCACCAAGCCAACGAUCUGUAGCUGGUCUGAGAGGACGACCAGCCACACUGGAACUGAGACACGGUCCAGACUCCUACGGGAGGCAGCAGUGGGGAAUUUUGGACAAUGGGCGAAAGCCUGAUCCAGCAAUGCCGCGUGCAGGAUGAAGGCCCUCGGGUUGUAAACUGCU
RNAcentral lists this ribosomal RNA (402 nucleotides) under uncultured bacterium. RNAcentral's name for it is "bacterial SSU rRNA". It matches the Rfam family "Bacterial small subunit ribosomal RNA", at positions 30 to 434 of the family's 1533-position model. The record is from RNAcentral.